GUUCUGACCUGCUGUGAGAAGGUUCUGACCUGCUGUGAGAAGGUUGUGACCCACAGUGAGAAGGUUCUGACCUGCUGUGAGAAGGUUCUGACCUGCUGUGAGAAGGUUCUGACCUACUGUGAGAAGGUU
Austrofundulus limnaeus is the source of this 129-nucleotide long non-coding RNA. RefSeq lists it as uncharacterized. NCBI's taxonomy places the organism in Eukaryota, Metazoa, Chordata, Actinopteri, Cyprinodontiformes, Rivulidae. The transcript is spliced from 3 exons. The record is from RefSeq and is a predicted model, not a curated record.